GACGAACGCUGGCGGCGUGCUUAACACAUGCAAGUCGAACGGAAAGGCCUCUUUCGGGGGGUACUCGAGUGGCGAACGGGUGAGUAACACGUGAGUAACCUGCCCUUGACUUUGGGAUAACUUCAGGAAACUGGGGCUAAUACCGGAUAGGAGCUCCUGCUGCAUGGUGGGGGUUGGAAAGUUUCGGCGGUUGGGGAUGGACUCGCGGCUUAUCAGCUUGUUGGUGGGGUAGUGGCUUACCAAGGCUUUGACGGGUAGCCGGCCUGAGAGGGUGACUGGCCACAUUGGGACUGAGAUACGGCCCAGACUCCUACGGGAGGCAGCGGUGGGGAAUAUUGCACAAUGGGUGGAAGCCUGAUGCAGCAACGCCGUGUGCGGGAUGACGGCCUUCGGGUUGUAAACCGCUUUCGCUCAUGACGAAGCUUUGUGUGACGGUAGUGGGUAAAGAAGCACCGGCUAACUACGUG
This 467-nucleotide ribosomal RNA is filed under the name uncultured bacterium. RNAcentral describes it as "partial 16S ribosomal RNA". It matches the Rfam family "Bacterial small subunit ribosomal RNA", at positions 28 to 507 of the family's 1533-position model. The record is from RNAcentral.